AUAACGCGUUGAAACAGCGGUUCCCGUGCGAUCACUGUAUUUAAGCAACGUCAGGCUUGAUUAGUAAGAAGAUGGGUGACAGUUUUCGAAUACCAGGUGCUGUAA
Molecule: non-coding RNA, 105 nt
Organism: Acanthosepion pharaonis
Lineage: Eukaryota; Metazoa; Mollusca; Cephalopoda; Sepiida; Sepiidae
Source: the annotation of a GenBank genome assembly